CAGGGAGACAACAAAAUGUUUAAUAUUAUUAUUUUGUCACCUUAGGUCGAUCGGUAUCUCACGUUUUUAAUUUAUUAAGAAUUUCAUUUCCUAAGUUUUUCUAGGUCACACCCAUUAUUUUUCCUGGGCCAUUAGCUCAGGUGGUUAGAGCGCACCCCUGAUAAGGGUGAGGUCCCUGGUUCAAGUCCAGGAUGGCCCAUAUCUCUAUGUUGGGGGUAUAGCUCAGUUGGUAGAGCGCCUGCUUUGCAAGCAGGAUGUCAGCGGUUCGAGUCCGCUUACCUCCACUGAUUACCACCUCUUCCAUAACCGGAGAAAGGAAAUGUUUUGAGUUGUGAUCAAAUUCUGGAAGAAUCUAGCUUCCUAAUGAAAUCAUUAAGAUGCUGGACUCAUUGAAUUAAUUUCAUUGUUUUCAGAGAACCUUGACAACUGCAUAGAUUAUUUUUAAAGACAAUUAGCAUCUUUAAUGAUGCAGAUUUAUUAUUUGUGCGAAAGCAUUAAUAACAAUUCUAUUAAGCUGAUGCUUCAAUUUUGAAGUUAUU
RNAcentral lists this transfer RNA (539 nucleotides) under uncultured cyanobacterium. RNAcentral's name for it is "partial 16S-23S ribosomal RNA intergenic spacer". The stretch from base 212 to 284 matches the Rfam family "tRNA". Lineage: Bacteria; Bacillati; Cyanobacteriota. The record is from RNAcentral.